Molecule: long non-coding RNA, 744 nt
Organism: Rhodamnia argentea
Lineage: Eukaryota; Viridiplantae; Streptophyta; Magnoliopsida; Myrtales; Myrtaceae
Exons: 3
Source: RefSeq, a predicted model, not a curated record
AGUGUGGACGAGCUGACCAAAGCACACCCACCCACUACAAUGAGAGCUCACCUAACGAAAACUCUCGCUUAUCUUUGCAGGUUGUGGAAGAAUUAUCGCAAUAACAUCACCACCCCUGUUCGCUCAGUUCUUCUUGUUAAGAGUUUCCUUGAUGGAGAAUAACCCUCGACCGAAUUAUCCGGGUUUCCCCUACUUCCCUCCUCCAUCGGGAUGGAUCGAUCCGAAUUCAGCGCCGUCCGACGACGACGACGACAACUGCAACACUCCGACGUGGGUCAUCGUCAGCAUAGUGAUUGUCCUCCUCAUAUUCUUGGGUUUCCUUGUCUACUUCAUCCUGCGGCGAGAGAAGAAAAUCUGGAGAAAAGCGGCCGCGCCACCUGCCCCGGCCGCAAAGCCACCGGCAAAGCCAGCUUGAUCUGGCUCCACCUGCUAAGCCGCCGCCAGUGGGCAUCCCGAUUUCGUUCCCCGGCGAUUGUCCGGCGUGCCGGCAUAGAGGAGGAAUUUAUUCUCUCUCACAUACCUGCCCUCUGGGCAAGUAUGAAGAUGGAAUACACUCUAGUGUAUCCAGACAAUAAAUCAGACAAAAAGGACAACAUGUAAUUAGUUCGGAAGCUUCUACGCAUGCUUAUGUGUUGAAACUUGAAUGGUGCACGGUGACAGAUCGUCUCCUCUACUGUACAACAUUAGAAAUUCGAUGCAAUAAAUGACUUUUGUCUCCUCCAUGGAUAGCAUAGAGGCGUUAUG